UACGGAAGGGGCAAGCGUUGUUCGGAAUCAUUGGGCGUAAAGGGCGUGUAGGCGGUCUCAUGUGUCCGCUGUGAAAGAACACGGCUCAACCGUGUGGAGCGGCGGAAACUGUGGGACUUGAGGCUGGGAGGGGCUGGUGGAAUUCCCUGUGUAGCGGUGAAAUGCGUAGAGAUGGGGGAGAACACUCGUGGCGAAGGCGGCCAGCUGGACCAGUUCUGACGCUGAGACGCGAAAGCGUGGGGAGCAAACAGG
Molecule: ribosomal RNA, 252 nt
Filed under: uncultured bacterium
Lineage: Bacteria
Description: partial 16S ribosomal RNA
Rfam family: Bacterial small subunit ribosomal RNA
Source: RNAcentral